This 495-nucleotide ribosomal RNA is filed under the name uncultured Lachnospiraceae bacterium. RNAcentral's name for it is "bacterial SSU rRNA". It matches the Rfam family "Bacterial small subunit ribosomal RNA", at positions 886 to 1382 of the family's 1533-position model. The record is from RNAcentral. Lineage: Bacteria; Bacillati; Bacillota; Clostridia; Lachnospirales; Lachnospiraceae.
AGCCCGCUCAGAAACUUAAAGGAAUUGACGGGGGCCCGCACAAGCGGUGGAGCAUGUGGUUUAAUUCGAAGCAACGCGAAGAACCUUACCAAGACUUGACAUCCCCUGACAGCUGUUGAAAGGCAGUGUCUCUUCGGAGCAGGGAGACAGGUGGUGCAUGGUUGUCGUCAGCUCGUGUCGUGAGAUGUUGGGUUAAGUCCCGCAACGAGCGCAACCCUUAUCCUUAGUUACCAGCACGUAAAGGUGGGGACUCUAGGGAGACCGCCGGGGACGACUCGGAGGAAGGUGGGGACGACGUCAAAUCAUCAUGCCCCUUAUGUCUUGGGCUACACACGUGCUACAAUGGCCGCAACAGAGGGAAGCGAGAGCGCAAGCUGGAGCAAAACCCUAAAAAGCGGUCCCAGUUCGGAUUGUGGGCUGCAACCCGCCCACAUGAAGUCGGAGUUGCUAGUAAUCGCGAAUCAGCAUGUCGCGGUGAAUGCGUUCCCGGGCCUU